CUCCACGGUGUAUCCCUGGAAUAAACACACCCGUGGGGGGAAGUCCAGCAAUGAAAAUCCACGCUGAAACAGUGGAUGAAGUGAAACGAGUGAGCCCCCGGAAGGUUUUUUCUCACGGCUGUCAACGCAAGAAGGUCAGACGUGUGGUUCUUCCUUCCUGACGACCUCUUUUGCUGUUUAUUUGGAAGUAUGCCUGCCUGGGGAUCAGGUCAAACUAUUCAUUUGAGCUUAGCCUUCUUGUUUUCCCACCAUGACUCGACCUACUAUGA
This is a long non-coding RNA of Syngnathus acus (greater pipefish), 269 nucleotides long. RefSeq lists it as uncharacterized. The record is from RefSeq and is a predicted model, not a curated record. The transcript is spliced from 2 exons. Lineage: Eukaryota; Metazoa; Chordata; Actinopteri; Syngnathiformes; Syngnathidae.